GUCUAUGGCCAGCUUCCCUGAACAAACUCGAUCCCAUCUGAUCUUGGAAGCUAAGCAGGGUCGGGCCUGGUUAGUACUUGGAUGAGAGACCACUUAGGAAGACCAGGUGCUGUAGGUG
Molecule: ribosomal RNA, 118 nt
Filed under: Pteropus alecto (black flying fox)
Lineage: Eukaryota; Metazoa; Chordata; Mammalia; Chiroptera; Pteropodidae
Source: RNAcentral